GACGAACGCUGGCGGCGUGCCUAACACAUGCAAGUCGAACGGAGAUGUUAAGGAAGUUUUACUGAAUUAAUGUCUUAGUGGCGGACGGGUGAGUAACGCGUGGGUGACCUACCCAUAAGAGGGGGAUAACAGUUGGAAACGACUGCUAAUACCGCAUAAGCUGAGUAAUCAGUAAAGGAGGCCUCUGAAAAUGCUUCCGCUUAUGGAUGGGCCCGCGUCUGAUUAGCUGGUUGGUGGGGUAAAGGCCUACCAAGGCGACGAUCAGUAGCCGGCCUGAGAGGGUGAACGGCCACACUGGGACUGAGACACGGCCCAGACUCCUACGGGAGGCAGCAGUGGGGAAUAUUGCGCAAUGGGGGAAACCCUGACGCAGCGACGCCGCGUGAGCGAAGAAGGUUUUCGGAUUGUAAAGCUCUGUCUUCCGGGACGAUAAUGACGGUACCGGAGGAGGAAGCCACGGCUAACUACGUG
This 471-nucleotide ribosomal RNA is filed under the name uncultured bacterium. RNAcentral's name for it is "bacterial SSU rRNA". It matches the Rfam family "Bacterial small subunit ribosomal RNA", at positions 28 to 507 of the family's 1533-position model. The record is from RNAcentral.